CGAGAAAGCCCGCAAGGGUGAGUACAGCGGCGCACGGGUGAGUAACACGUGGGCAAUCUGCCCUGGAGUCCGGAAUAACUCGCCGAAAGGCGUGCUAAUGCCGGAUAAGACCACGGGGACCUCGGUCCCUGCGGGAAAAGGUGGCCUCUGCAUGCAAGCUAUCACUUCAGGAUGAGCCCGCGGCCCAUCAGCUCGUUGGCGGGGUAACGGCCCACCAAGGCUACGACGGGUAGCUGGUCUGAGAGGACGAUCAGCCACACUGGAACUGAGACACGGUCCAGACUCCUACGGGAGGCAGCAGUGGGGAAUCUUGCGCAAUGGGCGAAAGCCUGACGCAGCAACGCCGCGUGUGUGAUGAAGGUCUUCGGAACGUAAAGCACUGUCGCGAGGGACG
This 394-nucleotide ribosomal RNA is filed under the name uncultured Anaeromyxobacter sp. RNAcentral describes it as "bacterial SSU rRNA". It matches the Rfam family "Bacterial small subunit ribosomal RNA", at positions 67 to 447 of the family's 1533-position model. The record is from RNAcentral. Lineage: Bacteria; Pseudomonadati; Myxococcota; Myxococcia; Myxococcales; Anaeromyxobacteraceae.